UGGCUCUCGCAUCGAUGAAGAACGCAGCGAAAUGCGAUAAGUAAUGUGAAUUGCAGAAUUCAGUGAAUCAUCGAAUCUUUGAACGCACCUUGCGCUCCUUGGUAUUCCGAGGAGCAUGCCUGUUUGAGUGUCAUGAAAUUCUCAACCUUCCUAGUUUUCGAACUAGUUAGGCUUGGAUUAUGGAAGUUGCUGGUUCUACUCGAAUCAGCUCUUCUUAAAUAUGUUAGCAAAGACCUUUGCUGACCAUCUUUGGUAUGAUAAUUAUCUAUAUCAUUGAUAACCAGUUCCCUUUUACGGGGGAGGCCUUGCUUCUAAUAGUCUUAGAGACAACUUUUUUUUGACAACUUUGACCUCAAAUCAGGUAGGACUACCCGCUGA
This 378-nucleotide unclassified non-coding RNA is filed under the name uncultured fungus. Its description in RNAcentral is "partial contains 5.8S ribosomal RNA and internal transcribed spacer 2". The stretch from base 1 to 133 matches the Rfam family "5.8S ribosomal RNA", at positions 22 to 154 of the family's 154-position model. Lineage: Eukaryota; Fungi. The record is from RNAcentral.